UUAAGCGACUAAGCGUACACGGUGGAUGCCCUGGCAGUCAGAGGCGAUGAAGGACGUGCUAAUCUGCGAUAAGCGUCGGUAAGGUGAUAUGAACCGUUAUAACCGGCGAUUUCCGAAUGGGGAAACCCAGUGUGUUUCGACACACUAUCAUUAACUGAAUCCAUAGGUUAAUGAGGCGAACCGGGGGAACUGAAACAUCUAAGUACCCCGAGGAAAAGAAAUCAACCGAGAUUCCCCCAGUAGCGGCGAGCGAACGGGGAGCAGCCCAGAGCCUGAAUCAGUGUGUGUGUUAGUGGAAGCGUCUGGAAAGGCGUGCGAUACAGGGUGACAGCCCCGUACACAAAAAUGCACAUAUUGUGAGCUCGAUGAGUAGGGCGGGACACGUGGUAUCCUGUCUGAAUAUGGGGGGACCAUCCUCCAAGGCUAAAUACUCCUGACUGACCGAUAGUGAACCAGUACCGUGAGGGAAAGGCGAAAAGAACCCCGGCGAGGGGAGUGAAAAAGAACCUGAAACCGUGUACGUACAAGCAGUGGGAGCACGCUUAGGCGUGUGACUGCGUACCUUUUGUAUAAUGGGUCAGCGACUUAUAUUCUGUAGCAAGGUUAACCGAAUAGGGGAGCCGAAGGGAAACCGAGUCUUAACUGGGCGUUAAGUUGCAGGGUAUAGACCCGAAACCCGGUGAUCUAGCCAUGGGCAGGUUGAAGGUUGGGUAACACUAACUGGAGGACCGAACCGACUAAUGUUGAAAAAUUAGCGGAUGACUUGUGGCUGGGGGUGAAAGGCCAAUCAAACCGGGAGAUAGCUGGUUCUCCCCGAAAGCUAUUUAGGUAGCGCCUCGUGAAUUCAUCUCCGGGGGUAGAGCACUGUUUCGGCAAGGGGGUCAUCCCGACUUACCAACCCGAUGCAAACUGCGAAUACCGGAGAAUGUUAUCACGGGAGACACACGGCGGGUGCUAACGUCCGUCGUGAAGAGGGAAACAACCCAGACCGCCAGCUAAGGUCCCAAAGUCAUGGUUAAGUGGGAAACGAUGUGGGAAGGCCCAGACAGCCAGGAUGUUGGCUUAGAAGCAGCCAUCAUUUAAAGAAAGCGUAAUAGCUCACUGGUCGAGUCGGCCUGCGCGGAAGAUGUAACGGGGCUAAACCAUGCACCGAAGCUGCGGCAGCGACGCUUAUGCGUUGUUGGGUAGGGGAGCGUUCUGUAAGCCUGUGAAGGUGUACUGUGAGGUAUGCUGGAGGUAUCAGAAGUGCGAAUGCUGACAUAAGUAACGAUAAAGCGGGUGAAAAGCCCGCUCGCCGGAAGACCAAGGGUUCCUGUCCAACGUUAAUCGGGGCAGGGUGAGUCGACCCCUAAGGCGAGGCCGAAAGGCGUAGUCGAUGGGAAACAGGUUAAUAUUCCUGUACUUGGUGUUACUGCGAAGGGGGGACGGAGAAGGCUAUGUUGGCCGGGCGACGGUUGUCCCGGUUUAAGCGUGUAGGCUGGUUUUCCAGGCAAAUCCGGAAAAUCAAGGCUGAGGCGUGAUGACGAGGCACUACGGUGCUGAAGCAACAAAUGCCCUGCUUCCAGGAAAAGCCUCUAAGCAUCAGGUAACAUCAAAUCGUACCCCAAACCGACACAGGUGGUCAGGUAGAGAAUACCAAGGCGCUUGAGAGAACUCGGGUGAAGGAACUAGGCAAAAUGGUGCCGUAACUUCGGGAGAAGGCACGCUGAUAUGUAGGUGAAGUCCCUCGCGGAUGGAGCUGAAAUCAGUCGAAGAUACCAGCUGGCUGCAACUGUUUAUUAAAAACACAGCACUGUGCAAACACGAAAGUGGACGUAUACGGUGUGACGCCUGCCCGGUGCCGGAAGGUUAAUUGAUGGGGUCAGCGCAAGCGAAGCUCUUGAUCGAAGCCCCGGUAAACGGCGGCCGUAACUAUAACGGUCCUAAGGUAGCGAAAUUCCUUGUCGGGUAAGUUCCGACCUGCACGAAUGGCGUAAUGAUGGCCAGGCUGUCUCCACCCGAGACUCAGUGAAAUUGAACUCGCUGUGAAGAUGCAGUGUACCCGCGGCAAGACGGAAAGACCCCGUGAACCUUUACUAUAGCUUGACACUGAACAUUGAGCCUUGAUGUGUAGGAUAGGUGGGAGGCUUUGAAGUGUGGACGCCAGUCUGCAUGGAGCCGACCUUGAAAUACCACCCUUUAAUGUUUGAUGUUCUAACGUGGACCCGUAAUCCGGGUUGCGGACAGUGUCUGGUGGGUAGUUUGACUGGGGCGGUCUCCUCCUAAAGAGUAACGGAGGAGCACGAAGGUUGGCUAAUCCUGGUCGGACAUCAGGAGGUUAGUGCAAUGGCAUAAGCCAGCUUGACUGCGAGCGUGACGGCGCGAGCAGGUGCGAAAGCAGGUCAUAGUGAUCCGGUGGUUCUGAAUGGAAGGGCCAUCGCUCAACGGAUAAAAGGUACUCCGGGGAUAACAGGCUGAUACCGCCCAAGAGUUCAUAUCGACGGCGGUGUUUGGCACCUCGAUGUCGGCUCAUCACAUCCUGGGGCUGAAGUAGGUCCCAAGGGUAUGGCUGUUCGCCAUUUAAAGUGGUACGCGAGCUGGGUUUAGAACGUCGUGAGACAGUUCGGUCCCUAUCUGCCGUGGGCGCUGGAGAACUGAGGGGGGCUGCUCCUAGUACGAGAGGACCGGAGUGGACGCAUCACUGGUGUUCGGGUUGUCAUGCCAAUGGCACUGCCCGGUAGCUAAAUGCGGAAGAGAUAAGUGCUGAAAGCAUCUAAGCACGAAACUUGCCCCGAGAUGAGUUCUCCCUGACUCCUUGAGAGUCCUGAAGGAACGUUGAAGACGACGACGUUGAUAGGCCGGGUGUGUAAGCGCAGCGAUGCGUUGAGCUAACCGGUACUAAUGAACCGUGAGGCUUAACCUU
RNAcentral lists this ribosomal RNA (2902 nucleotides) under Escherichia coli NCCP15648. Its description in RNAcentral is "bacterial LSU rRNA". It matches the Rfam family "Bacterial large subunit ribosomal RNA". Lineage: Bacteria; Pseudomonadati; Pseudomonadota; Gammaproteobacteria; Enterobacterales; Enterobacteriaceae. The record is from RNAcentral.